AACGAACGCUGGCGGCAGGCCUAACACAUGCAAGUCGAGCGCGCCCUUCGGGGUGAGCGGCGGACGGGUGAGUAACGCGUGGGAACGUGCCCUUCUCUGCGGAAUAGCCUCGGGAAACUGAGAGUAAUACCGCAUACGCCCUUUGGGGGAAAGAUUUAUCGGAGAAGGAUCGGCCCGCGUUGGAUUAGGUAGUUGGUGGGGUAAUGGCCCACCAAGCCGACGAUCCAUAGCUGGUUUGAGAGGAUGAUCAGCCACACUGGGACUGAGACACGGCCCAGACUCCUACGGGAGGCAGCAGUGGGGAAUCUUAGACAAUGGGGGCAACCCUGAUCUAGCCAUGCCGCGUGAGUGAUGAAGGCCUUAGGGUUGUAAAGCUCUUUCAGCUGGGAAGAUAAUGACGGGACCAGCAGAAGAAGCCCCGGCUAACUCCGU
RNAcentral lists this ribosomal RNA (432 nucleotides) under uncultured bacterium. Its description in RNAcentral is "partial 16S ribosomal RNA". It matches the Rfam family "Bacterial small subunit ribosomal RNA", at positions 29 to 506 of the family's 1533-position model. The record is from RNAcentral.